CGACGCGAUAGGCCGGGUGGGCGGGUUCGCCUGCGGCGAAGAGGUCCCGGAUGGCCCGGGACAGGUCCGGCGGCACGACUUCGUCCGCGUCGA
RNAcentral lists this transfer RNA (93 nucleotides) under Methylobacterium bullatum. Its description in RNAcentral is "tRNA-Ala". Lineage: Bacteria; Pseudomonadati; Pseudomonadota; Alphaproteobacteria; Hyphomicrobiales; Methylobacteriaceae. The record is from RNAcentral.